Molecule: ribosomal RNA, 466 nt
Filed under: uncultured bacterium
Lineage: Bacteria
Description: partial 16S ribosomal RNA
Rfam family: Bacterial small subunit ribosomal RNA
Source: RNAcentral
GACGAACGCUGGCGGCGCGCCUAACACAUGCAAGUCGAACGAGCGAGCGAGAGCUUGCUUUCUCAAGCGAGUGGCGAACGGGUGAGUAACGCGUGAGGAACCUGCCUCAAAGAGGGGGACAACAGUUGGAAACGACUGCUAAUACCGCAUAAGCCCACGACCCGGCAUCGGGUCGAGGGAAAAGGAGCAAUCCGCUUUGAGAUGGCCUCGCGUCCGAUUUGCUUGUUAGUGUGGUAACGGCCCACCAAGGCGACGAUCGGUAGCCGGACUGAGAGGUUGAACGGCCACAUUGGGACUGAGACACGGCACAGAAUCCUACGGGAGGCAGCAGUGGGGAAUAUAGCACAAUGGGGGAAAGCCUGAUGAAGCGACGACGCGUGGAGGAAGAAGGUCUUCGGAUUGUAAACUCCUGUUGUUGAGGAAGAUAAUGACGGUACUCAACAAGGAAGUGACGGCUAACUACGUG